UACGGGGGGAGCAAGCGUUGUUCGGAUUUACUGGGCGUAAAGGGCGUGCAGGCGGUUUGUUAAGUGCAGGGUGAAAGCUCCCGGCUCAACUGGGCGAGGUCCUUGCAUACUGGCAAACUCGAGGGAGGCAGAGGAAAGUGGAAUUCCCGGUGUAGUGGUGAUAUGCGUAGAUAUCGGGAGGAACACCUGUGGCGAAGGCGGCUUUCUGGGCCUUACCUGACGCUGAGACGCGAAAGCGUGGGGAGCGAACCGG
RNAcentral lists this ribosomal RNA (253 nucleotides) under uncultured bacterium. RNAcentral's name for it is "partial 16S ribosomal RNA". It matches the Rfam family "Bacterial small subunit ribosomal RNA", at positions 524 to 776 of the family's 1533-position model. The record is from RNAcentral.